This 461-nucleotide ribosomal RNA is filed under the name uncultured bacterium. RNAcentral describes it as "partial 16S ribosomal RNA". It matches the Rfam family "Bacterial small subunit ribosomal RNA", at positions 338 to 795 of the family's 1533-position model. The record is from RNAcentral.
UCUACGGGGGGCAGCAGUGAGGAAUAUUGGUCAAUGGGCGAGAGCCUGAACCAGCCAAGUCGCGUGAGGGAAGACGGUCCUAUGGAUUGUAAACCUCUUUUGUCUGGGAGCAAAAAGGCCUCGUGAGGCCACAAGUGAGAGUACCCGAAGAAAAAGCAUCGGCUAACUCCGUGCCAGCAGCCGCGGUAAUACGGAGGAUGCGAGCGUUAUCCGGAUUUAUUGGGUUUAAAGGGUGCGUAGGUUGUUUUUUAAGUCAGCGGUGAAAGUUUGUGGCUCAACCAUAAAAUUGCCGUUGAAACUGGAAGACUUGAGUGUGUUUGAGGUAGGCGGAAUGCGUGGUGUAGCGGUGAAAUGCAUAGAUAUCACGCAGAACUCCGAUUGCGAAGGCAGCUUACUAAGCCAUAACUGACACUGAAGCACGAAAGCGUGGGGAUCAAACAGGAUUAGAUACCCCAGUAGUC